GUGCCAGCAGCCGCGGUAAUACGUAGGGUGCGAGCGUUGUCCGGAAUUACUGGGCGUAAAGAGCUCGUAGGUGGUUUGUCGCGUCGUCUGUGAAAUUCCGGGGCUUAACUCCGGGCGUGCAGGCGAUACGGGCAUAACUUGAGUGCUGUAGGGGAGACUGGAAUUCCUGGUGUAGCGGUGAAAUGCGCAGAUAUCAGGAGGAACACCAAUGGCGAAGGCAGGUCUCUGGGCAGUAACUGACGCUGAGGAGCGAAAGCAUGGGUAGCGAACAGGAUUAGAUACCCUGGUAGUCCAUGCCGUAAACGGUGGGCGCUAGGUGUGGGGGUCUUCCACGACUUCUGUGCCGUAGCUAACGCAUUAAGCGCCCCGCCUGGGGAGUACGGCCGCAAGGCUAAAACUCAAAGGAAUUGACGGGGGCCCGCACAAGCGGCGGAGCAUGUGGAUUAAUUCGAUGCAACGCGAAGAACCUUACCUGGGCUUGACAUAUGCCGGAUCGGCGCAGAGAUGCGUUUUCCCUUGUGGUCGGUAUACAGGUGGUGCAUGGUUGUCGUCAGCUCGUGUCGUGAGAUGUUGGGUUAAGUCCCGCAACGAGCGCAACCCUUGUCUUGUGUUGCCAGCACGUUAUGGUGGGGACUCGCGAGAGACUGCCGGGGUUAACUCGGAGGAAGGUGGGGAUGACGUCAAAUCAUCAUGCCCCUUAUGUCCAGGGCUUCACACAUGCUACAAUGGUCGGUACAGUGGGUUGCUACACCGUGAGGUGGUGCUAAUCCCUUAAAGCCGGUCUCAGUUCGGAUUGGAGUCUGCAACUCGACUCCAUGAAGUCGGAGUCGCUAGUAAUCGCAGAUCAGCAACGCUGCGGUGAAUACGUUCCCGGGCCUUGNNCACACCGCCCGU
RNAcentral lists this ribosomal RNA (894 nucleotides) under uncultured bacterium. RNAcentral describes it as "bacterial SSU rRNA". It matches the Rfam family "Bacterial small subunit ribosomal RNA", at positions 505 to 1397 of the family's 1533-position model. The record is from RNAcentral.